RNAcentral lists this transfer RNA (75 nucleotides) under Thermotogota bacterium ADurb.Bin062. RNAcentral describes it as "Thermotogae bacterium ADurb.Bin062 tRNA-Arg". It matches the Rfam family "tRNA". Rfam says of the family: Transfer RNA (tRNA) molecules are approximately 80 nucleotides in length. RNAcentral also lists the same sequence under 2 other names. The record is from RNAcentral. Lineage: Bacteria; Thermotogati; Thermotogota.
GCCCCAGUAGUUCAAUGGAUAGAACGGUGGAUUCCUAAUCCGCAGAUGUAGGUUCGAUUCCUACCCGGGGUACCA